ACAUACGACAACAUCAUGCAAAAGUAAAAUAAGUAGGGGAAAUUAAAACUGUCAUGUUUUAUAUUACAACAACUCAAAAUUCCAAUUGCACAACUGAAUGUGUAUACAUUUUGAUCCAUAUCAUGACAAGACUGUUUAGUAAGAUAUAAAAUAUGAUUACAUUUGUCCUAUGUUUAAUCUGUGUUAUUUCGCAAUAAUCGUCUUAUUUCGUAAGAAUUUAAAUUGCUGACUCUCUGAUCAAACAUCAAGUUGUGCAUAAGAGAAAACUAAUCAUUUCACAUUUAAAGGUACUACAUUUUAUAUUGCGAAUCACAUCUCUUGAACAAUUUUGAUUUUUCAUCUUUACUCAGACUCCGGGCUGGUAAAAUGUACAAUAUUAUAUUUGUUAUAUUGCUUCUAACCUUUGUAAGUGCUGAUGCGCAGAACUGCCAUUGCCCAAGAUUUUAUUGCUUAGAUGGUGGAAGAGCCAAAAGGAGUCCUGACAUUCCAAUUUGUCCAUUAUGUCCAAGACCAGAAUGUCCACCACCUCCAGGAACGGAAAUCUCUUAAAAAAGUGGUUUUGACCUUUGUCGUAAGACAACCUUCUCAAUUUAAAGGAUAUAUUUUACCAUUUUGUCUUAGAAAAAAUAAAUUUAUAUAAAAUAUUAAAAAA
Long non-coding RNA from Parasteatoda tepidariorum (common house spider), 652 nucleotides. RefSeq lists it as uncharacterized. NCBI's taxonomy places the organism in Eukaryota, Metazoa, Arthropoda, Arachnida, Araneae, Theridiidae. The record is from RefSeq and is a predicted model, not a curated record.